GAAGAAAGCAAUGCAAGAAGGCACGAAAAGGAUACCAAAGACACAAAGGCAGCCACCGGCUUUGGAGCACAAAGCAAACGGGUUUCUCUCUAAUUUCUUCUCACAAAUCACAUACAAAAAGAGCUAGAACAAAACAACCAUAUACAUGGAUAUAGGUUAGGCUUUAAUUGGAUCAAGAGAGGGGUAACAUGAGUUAAGAUCUAAGAGCGGUCCAAUAGUCCAUGUUGUUUUCGAGUCUAGCCUUUAUUGUUGGUAAUCAAUGCCGAAGCUUGUGAAAAUAUAUUCUCAAGUUCACUAAAGUUUAUUCAAACAAAAUAUCUCUAGACUCUAGUACACAAUAUAAUAAAGCUAUGGCAGCCACAGCUCCAGCUCCUAGGAAAUUGGCUGUUGGCAGAAAGUUCUUUUUUGAGGAUACAGCUUCCAUAUAUAUGCCCAAGCCCAUCGGGACAGGAAAUGUAGCUUGCAAGUCGACUGAAACUUCAGUAGGGAAAAUUCCUACACAUCGCAAAGCAGAGAGGAGUUCGAGGUCAAAUGCACAUAGAUAAAAAUGAAUAGUUAAACUGAAACUAAACACAAGCAGUAAAAAAUAAAACCAUAGUUAGUAGUAAGCCGUGAAAUUGCUGGAUAUAACGAUCACAGGGAAGUUGUACAACCUAAGAUAGUUUUGGUAGGUUCUUAAAGGAGAAGCUUUCCUCGUGGGCUCAUAUUUUAGUCACAUUUCCAGCAAACUCAGCAAGACUGCUAUUGAAAUGGUUCAGACGAAAUAUCGGAUUUCUACUGUAAUAAGCCAAGUACCGGUGCACAGACAGCAGAGAAUUUCUGCCAUUAUAAUUUACGUAGAACAAAAGCGCACACAUACAAAAAUGCAAAAUAGGACCUGAAAAAUAACAAUCACAUUGUUUCAUAAUCCUUACAUACUAAUUUUCUAUUGGUCGAUCCCCCAACACUAGUUGAGCACAAUUUCUUCAGAAGCAUUUCUAGCGGCAUGAAACUGCAAACUUGCACAAGAAUUUUCUCAGCGAAGGUGUGAUCACACAAAAUUCAGAAGUUGCUAGCCAUUAAUAAAUUUAAAGUCAUUUGUGACGAUCAACUACCUCAUCACCAAAAGGACGAUCAAUAUCUGAAGACAUUUUUGAAGAGAAUGCUGCAAACAGUAGGCAUAAUGCUAAAGCAGUUUGAACCUUUGUUAUAUGGGAGAAGUAUAACUUAAAUCUUCUAAUAAAAGCUGUAUAGGAAUAGAAGAGCAAGGGAUAAAUACGGACUCAAGUUAAUAGUGCAGCCAACCGCCCCCAAAGAACAAAGAACCCAGAAUCACUUAAGGAAAACAUGUUUGACCUCAGCUGCUGAUUGAGCUCACCGUUGUCAGAAGUGUACAUGAUCCCAGCUCUGAAAAUAGACUCUGUGUAGGAAUUCAAACUAGCUACAUAUGGGAAUCUUCGGUUUACUAUAAUUAUGGGUUCAUAUUUUUAGGGAUAUUAAUCUUCCAUAUAUAGCUGUAAUUUACUUCCCUUAAAUAAUGUAAAUUAGUUCCUAGAAAUCAGGAUCUUCUCCACAGAUCUUUUUAUAUAUGUAUAUAUACCUGUAUUGUACCUAUUGAAGAGGAGAAAAUUACUCCCAUUCUAUUCUACUUCAUGGUAUCAGAGCCAAGCUCCUAAAACCUAAAUUUUUCAUCUGUCUGGCCGCCAACCCUAACCUAUUCUCAAUUCAUAUUUAUCUGUCACCUCUGUGAUAAUCUCAUCCACCAUGGCCGAAUCUGAACAAACUUCCAAGGACUCAUCAUCAUCUCCCAAUACUCCUAUCAAUUCUCAGGUCACUCAAACCACUCCCGAAAACAAUAUUACCCCUAUAAUCAACCACAAGCUCAAUGGCCACAACUAUCUCCAAUGGUCGCAAUCCACAAUGAUGUUUAUCAGUGGACGAAGCCGGGAUGAUUAUCUUACAGGGGCUGCUGCCCAACCAAGUUCAAGUGAUCCCAGAUUCAGAGUUUGGAGGGCAGAAAACAACCUGGUCAUGUCCUGGUUAAUUGGCUCAAUGACUACCGAGAUAGGUGAGAACUUCCUUCUCUACACUACAACCAAGGAAAUAUGGGAUGCAGCCCAUGACACCUUCUCUAGUAGUGAGAAUACUGCUGAACUCUUCCAUGUAGAGAGUAUCCGACAUGAUCUAAGGCAAGGAGAAAACACAGUCACCACCUACUUCACCACUCUGAUGCGACACUGGCAACAGUUGGACCUCCUUGAAUCUCACGAAUGGAAAUGUCCUGAUGACAGCACCUAUUUCAAGAAAAUAGUAGAGACCAAACACAUCUUCAAGUUUCUGAUGGGUCUUGAUAAGUCCCUUGAUGAGGUGCGAGGUCGGAUACUUGGAGCCAAGCCCCUACCAAGUCUUCGAGAAGUCUUUUUCGAGGUACGCCGAGAGGAGAGCAGAAAACGAGUCAUGAUGGGACAUUCUAAUACACCUGCAUCCACUGAUGGCUCAGCCCUUGCUGCAGCCAAAGACCACGUGUCCAUGGUCGAACCUGCUGCUUGUGCCGCUCGCGGGAUGUUCCAGACUCCCGGUGAAAAUCGACCACGAAGGGGACGUCCUUGGUGCGACCACUGUAAGAUGCCAGGCCACGAAAAAGUAACCUGCUGGAAGUUACAUGGAAAGCCACCAGAUUGGAAGCCAAACAG
Molecule: long non-coding RNA, 2672 nt
Filed under: Olea europaea subsp. europaea
Lineage: Eukaryota; Viridiplantae; Streptophyta; Magnoliopsida; Lamiales; Oleaceae
Source: RNAcentral